Molecule: ribosomal RNA, 726 nt
Filed under: Escherichia coli
Lineage: Bacteria; Pseudomonadati; Pseudomonadota; Gammaproteobacteria; Enterobacterales; Enterobacteriaceae
Description: partial 23S ribosomal RNA
Rfam family: Bacterial large subunit ribosomal RNA
Source: RNAcentral
CGGCGAUUUCCGAAUGGGGAAACCCAGUGUGAUUCGUCACACUAUCAUUAACUGAAUCCAUAGGUUAAUGAGGCGAACCGGGGGAACUGAAACAUCUAAGUACCCCGAGGAAAAGAAAUCAACCGAGAUUCCCCCAGUAGCGGCGAGCGAACGGGGAGGAGCCCAGAGCCUGAAUCAGUGUGUGUGUUAGUGGAAGCGUCUGGAAAGGCGCGCGAUACAGGGUGACAGCCCCGUACACAAAAAUGCACAUACUGUGAGCUCGAUGAGUAGGGCGGGACACGUGGUAUCCUGUCUGAAUAUGGGGGGACCAUCCUCCAAGGCUAAAUACUCCUGACUGACCGAUAGUGAACCAGUACCGUGAGGGAAAGGCGAAAAGAACCCCGGCGAGGGGAGUGAAAAAGAACCUGAAACCGUGUACGUACAAGCAGUGGGAGCCUCUUUAUGGGGUGACUGCGUACCUUUUGUAUAAUGGGUCAGCGACUUAUAUUCUGUAGCAAGGUUAACCGAAUAGGGGAGCCGAAGGGAAACCGAGUCUUAACUGGGCGUUAAGUUGCAGGGUAUAGACCCGAAACCCGGUGAUCUAGCCAUGGGCAGGUUGAAGGUUGGGUAACACUAACUGGAGGACCGAACCGACUAAUGUUGAAAAAUUAGCGGAUGACUUGUGGCUGGGGGUGAAAGGCCAAUCAAACCGGGAGAUAGCUGGUUCUCCCCGAAAGCUAUUUAGGU